CACAAAAGAAAUGUCAGCCAUCAGGGAACUUCACUGAGCAUUCUUGCUACCAAAUCACACAGAGGGAGACAGGGUUUCAAAAUCAUCCCUCAAUAAUCCUCAUCCUGUAUUUAAAUAAUCUCUUGCUUUGAGUGGGGCCCGAACUGAGUGACUCCCUUCUAAGGAACAGAAUAUAGAGAAAGGGACAUGAUACAACUGCUGCGUUUACGGUAUGAAAUGCUUGUGACUUGCGCCUUGCCUGCCCUCUUUGCCUUUUCUUUCCGGCUCUCCCAAAAAGAAGCCCACUACUAUCUGUGAGCAAGGAAUAGGGUGGCCUGCUGGACAGCGGUCAGCAAGGAGCGGAGGUCCUCAGGCCAACAGCUUCCCAAGUGAGCUUGGAAGCAGGUCCCGCCCCAGUUGAGCCAGGCAAUGAUGACAGUCCUGGCAGAGACCUUGGCUGCAAUCUAGGAGCGAUUCUGUGCCAAGGGACCCAGCUUGGAUUUUUGACCUACAGAAAUAAGAGAGUAUAAACCAAGGGAAGACCCAGGCUGUCUGCUUCCUGCUUCCUGCUUCCUGCUUCCUGCUCAGUCCCGCCCAGCCUCCUUCGAAAGAGCCAGCUCGGUAACUACACUGUGAACGCCUCUGUCAUGAAUGGAUGCUAACAUUUUUCUUCAGCUAUAAUCUAGUCAAUGUGUUUGGUAGUGUUUACCAUUGCCACAUACCCUGUUUUAAACAUGUAUAAUUUAGUAUGAAAAAUGAUGAAAAAAUAUACACAUAACAAUGUAAUAUUUGCUAAGGUUCUUCUUGUUUUUUUUUGUUUUUGUUUUUGUUUUUUGCUAUUUUUACGGUUUUUGUUUCACUGUUGUUUUUUUCUCCUAGAAAAAGACUCAUCCUCCUUCAGAUGUGAAUAUUUUCUUUCCUUCAACCAGGAUCUCAUUUAGCCCUUAAGACCUUUUUAUGCAAUUUUUAAAAAAGGAGCAGCCUCCCCCAGUUGGCAGAAAUGAUCUGUGCCCGGCAUGGUAAGCAGGGACAGACUAGGCCUCAAGGGCCACAUCCCCGCACAGCUGCUGCCCUCUACAGUGAAAACCUCUGUGUCCUCAUGCUGCCACUGCGCUCACCUUCCCCACAAGCCAAACGGACAUAGUAAAGGUCAUAGCAGGGUACAAGACCACAGGAACUGAAAAGCUGAAGACUAGGAAGAAAUCUUUCACUGAAGCCAGUUCGGUGACAAUAAACAUGACGUUAAAAGUUUAUCACACUUGUUACACUUUUUGUUUUCUCUUAUUUUCUUAAGCCCAGGUUCUGUUUGAAUGAAUGCAAUUUAGCAAAGUUGCUUUUUCGGGAACACAAAAUUUUGUGGCUUGUGAAAAGAAAAAAAAAAAACGUAAUCUAGAACAUGCGUGAGAAGAAAGACCUUCCAAAGCUGUCUUGAGAGGCAAAUGUGUGCGGCGGCCUCUCUUGCUAGUCGUCCCCUGGGCAUUAUAUAACUCAAAGGUAAUUAGAGAUUGAGGCUUGGACGGCAAAUUCCGUCCCACAAAGGAUAAUCCGGUGUGGAGACAUCAAGUUCGCAGAUGCUCCACAUUUCCAGCCAAGAUAAAGAAAAACUCUUUGGAUAUAUACAUCUCUGUUAAUCCUGCUAGAGAUCAACUUAGAGGAGGUUUAAGUUAGCCAAGGACAUUGGCUUUCUCUGACAUAUCUCAUUCCAGAAAUGCGAUUGUGCUUUAUGGGCUAAAAACAGCAACUCUGUAAAAGUUUCUAAAAACUUUCAAAACAUUUGUUCACAGACUGGAACACAGACUUUUUUUUUUCUAAAUUGAAAACAA
This is a long non-coding RNA of Chinchilla lanigera (long-tailed chinchilla), 1802 nucleotides long. RefSeq lists it as uncharacterized. The transcript is spliced from 3 exons. The record is from RefSeq and is a predicted model, not a curated record. Lineage: Eukaryota; Metazoa; Chordata; Mammalia; Rodentia; Chinchillidae.